RNAcentral lists this non-coding RNA (175 nucleotides) under Sporomusaceae bacterium. Its description in RNAcentral is "6S RNA". It matches the Rfam family "6S / SsrS RNA". From Rfam's summary of the family: E. coli 6S RNA was the first non coding RNA to be sequenced, but its function was unknown until recently. It consists of 184 nucleotides that fold into an extended hairpin structure with a large single-stranded internal bulge. The record is from RNAcentral. Lineage: Bacteria; Bacillati; Bacillota; Negativicutes; Selenomonadales; Sporomusaceae.
AGUUGCCUGCGGUAUACGUUAACUUUUAUAUGUCCAACCUACUUUUAUAAAUGGGGAAUCUAAUUGCUGCUUGGCUGUCGAGCCAUCUUCGAGUGGAUGACAAAAGCGCGGCUAGGAUGCCCACCUGCUAGUUGCAGGUUUGGACAUAUAAAAGAAACGACAUUUUGGGCUUUAA